RNAcentral lists this ribosomal RNA (253 nucleotides) under uncultured bacterium. Its description in RNAcentral is "partial 16S ribosomal RNA". It matches the Rfam family "Bacterial small subunit ribosomal RNA", at positions 524 to 776 of the family's 1533-position model. The record is from RNAcentral.
UACAGAGGUCUCAAGCGUUGUUCGGAAUCACUGGGCGUAAAGGGUGCGUAGGCGGACCGCCAAGUCAGAUGUGAAAGACCGGGGCUCAACCCCGGAACGGCAUCCGAUACUGGCGAUCUAGAGGGCUCGAGGGGAGUGUGGAAUUCACGGUGUAGCAGUGAAAUGCGUAGAUAUCGUGAGGAACACCAGUGGCGAAGGCGACACUCUGGAGAGCAACUGACGCUGAGGCACGAAGGCCAGGGGAGCGAACGGG